This 497-nucleotide ribosomal RNA is filed under the name uncultured bacterium. RNAcentral's name for it is "partial 16S ribosomal RNA". It matches the Rfam family "Bacterial small subunit ribosomal RNA", at positions 28 to 507 of the family's 1533-position model. The record is from RNAcentral.
GAUGAACGCUGGCGGCGUGCCUAAUACAUGCAAGUCGAGCGAACAGACGAGGAGCUUGCUCCUCUGACGUUAGCGGCUGACGGGUGAGUAACACGUGGAUAACCUACCUAUAAGACUGGGAUAACUUCGGGAAACCGGAGCUAAUACCGGAUAACAUGUUGAACCGCAUGGUUCAACAGUGAAAGACGGUCUUGCUGUCACUUAUAGAUGGAUCCGCGCCGCAUUAGCUAGUUGGUAAGGUAACGGCUUACCAAGGCAACGAUGCGUAGCCGACCUGAGAGGGUGAUCGGCCACACUGGAACUGAGACACGGUCCAGACUCCUACGGGAGGCAGCAGUAGGGAAUCUUCCGCAAUGGGCGAAAGCCUGACGGAGCAACGCCGCGUGAGUGAAGAAGGUCUUCGGAUCGUAAAACUCUGUUAUUAGGGAAGAACAAAUGUGUAAGUAACUAUGCACGUCUUGACGGUACCUAAUCAGAAAGCCACGGCUAACUACGUG